GAUGAACGCUAGCUACAGGCUUAACACAUGCAAGUCGCGGGGCAGCAUGGGGGUUGCUUGCAAUCCCCGAUGGCGACCGGCGCACGGGUGAGUAACGCGUAUCCAACCUGCCCUUCACCACGGGAUAACCCGGCGAAAGUCGGACUAAUACCGUAUGUUGUCCAUUGACGGCAUCCGAUUUGGACGAAAGGUUUGGCGGUGAAGGAUGGGGAUGCGUCCGAUUAGCUGGACGGCGGGGGGACGGCCCACCGUGGCGACGAUCGGUAGGGGUUCUGAGAGGAAGGUCCCCCACACUGGAACUGAGACACGGUCCAGACUCCUACGGGAGGCAGCAGUGAGGAAUAUUGGUCAAUGGGCGUAAGCCUGAACCAGCCAAGUAGCGUGCAGGAUGACGGCCCUAUGGGUUGUAAACUGCUUUUAUGCGGGGAUAAAGUGGCCCACGUGUGGGUUUUUGCAGGUACCGCAUGAAUAAGGACCGGCUAAUUCCGUG
RNAcentral lists this ribosomal RNA (490 nucleotides) under uncultured bacterium. RNAcentral's name for it is "partial 16S ribosomal RNA". It matches the Rfam family "Bacterial small subunit ribosomal RNA", at positions 28 to 507 of the family's 1533-position model. The record is from RNAcentral.